Benincasa hispida (wax gourd) is the source of this 104-nucleotide small nuclear RNA. The record is from RefSeq and is a predicted model, not a curated record. Lineage: Eukaryota; Viridiplantae; Streptophyta; Magnoliopsida; Cucurbitales; Cucurbitaceae.
GUAGUUCAUUGAAAGGCAUCCGAUAAAAUUGGAAUUAUAAGAUGAUCAUCAGCAUGUCCUUGCCCAAGGAUGACACACAAAAUUGAGAAAUGGUAAAAAAAAAA